GAUGAACGCUGGCGGCGUGCCUAACACAUGCAAGUCGAACGGAGUUCUUAGGAAUGCGGCUUCGGCUAAAUGACUUUUGAACUUAGUGGCGGACGGGUGAGUAACGCGUGAGGAACCUGCCUUUCAGAGGGGGACAACAGUUGGAAACGACUGCUAAUACCGCAUGAAGCGUAUUGAUCGCAUGGUCGAUACGCCAAAGAUUUAUCGCUGAAAGAUGGCCUCGCGUCUGAUUAGCUAGUUGGUGAGGUAACGGCCCACCAAGGCGACGAUCAGUAGCCGGACUGAGAGGUUGAACGGCCACAUUGGGACUGAGAUACGGCCCAGACUCCUACGGGAGGCAGCAGUGGGGAAUAUUGGGCAAUGGGCGCAAGCCUGACCCAGCAACGCCGCGUGAAGGAAGAAGGCUUUCGGGUUGUAAACUUCUUUUGUCGGGGACGAGUAGAAGACGGUACCUGACGAAUAAGCCACGGCUAACUACGUG
RNAcentral lists this ribosomal RNA (481 nucleotides) under uncultured bacterium. Its description in RNAcentral is "bacterial SSU rRNA". It matches the Rfam family "Bacterial small subunit ribosomal RNA", at positions 28 to 507 of the family's 1533-position model. The record is from RNAcentral.